This 68-nucleotide transfer RNA is filed under the name Parochlus steinenii. Its description in RNAcentral is "tRNA-Pro". Lineage: Eukaryota; Metazoa; Arthropoda; Insecta; Diptera; Chironomidae. The record is from RNAcentral.
CAGGAAAUAGUUUAAUUAAAAUAUUAAUUUUGGGGAUUAGAGAUAAAGAUUGCUUUCUUUUUUCCUGA